Molecule: unclassified non-coding RNA, 24 nt
Filed under: Mus musculus (house mouse)
Lineage: Eukaryota; Metazoa; Chordata; Mammalia; Rodentia; Muridae
Description: oocyte_clustered_small_RNA8399
Source: RNAcentral
AAAUGCCAGUCAGCCCAGUUGAAG